CCUCACUAGCCAUCAGCAUCCUUUCCAUCUGAAAUUUCACUGGAAAUCUGAAUGAACUUCCUCUGCACAAAUUACUCAGUCUUAACUGAGACACUAUGCUGCCCACUGAGGAUACAGGAAGGAAUCAAAUGGACAGAGUCUACAGCUACCCUCAUGGAUCAUAUAGGCUAAGGAUGUUGCCUGAUGGCUAAGCCCAGGGGGUGUUUUAGUGCCUUGUUUACAGGAUACUGGUCAUCUCCCCAGAUCAUUUUCUCAUUAGGACAGCACCAUGGAUGGAGUCUCCAGAUAAGUAUAAAAGGGACUCUGCUGCUUUUCCUACCCCCAUGUGCCUCCCAUUCAUCAUAAAGGAAGAAAGGAUUUUUCCUCAGCUAGUUGGCUGUUUCCUCAAUGGAGUGCUGUUGAACAGUUUGGGCGAGGUGAUUUGCUGUAAGGAACUGUCUUGGACAUUGCUGGGAGCUUGGCAUCCCUGGCCCCACCCACAAAAUGCUGUUCCAGUCAUUGUGACAACCAAUAAAUGUCCCUAUGCAUG
Long non-coding RNA from Hyaena hyaena (striped hyena), 529 nucleotides. RefSeq lists it as uncharacterized. The transcript is spliced from 3 exons. NCBI's taxonomy places the organism in Eukaryota, Metazoa, Chordata, Mammalia, Carnivora, Hyaenidae. The record is from RefSeq and is a predicted model, not a curated record.